UCCCAGGUCCGUCCUUCUCAGUCAUCUAGC
This 30-nucleotide non-coding RNA is filed under the name Mus musculus (house mouse). Lineage: Eukaryota; Metazoa; Chordata; Mammalia; Rodentia; Muridae. The record is from RNAcentral.